Oryza glaberrima (African rice) is the source of this 208-nucleotide non-coding RNA. NCBI's taxonomy places the organism in Eukaryota, Viridiplantae, Streptophyta, Magnoliopsida, Poales, Poaceae. The record is from Rfam.
AAUAAGUGUAGUUUUGCACUAUUCAUGUUUUACGUUUGACUGUUCGUCUUAUUUAAAAUUUUUUUAUAAUUAGUACUUUUAUUACUAUUAGAUGAUAAAACAUGAAGAGUAGUUUAUGUGUGACUAAAUAUUUUUUAAUUUUUCACAAAUUUUUCAGAAAAGACGGACGGUCAAAUAUUGGGCACGGAUAUUCACGACUGCACUUAUU